CGGACGGGUGAGUAACGCGUGGGUAACCUGCCUCAUACGGGGGAUAACGAUUGGAAACGAUUGCUAAUACCGCAUAAGCGCACAGCACCACAUGGUGCAGUGUGAAAAACUCCGGUGGUAUAAGAUGGACCCGCGUUGGAUUAGCUAGUUGGUGAGGUAACGGCCCACCAAGGCGACGAUCCAUAGCCGGCCUGAGAGGGUGAACGGCCACAUUGGGACUGAGACACGGCCCAG
RNAcentral lists this ribosomal RNA (234 nucleotides) under uncultured bacterium. Its description in RNAcentral is "partial 16S ribosomal RNA". It matches the Rfam family "Bacterial small subunit ribosomal RNA", at positions 99 to 334 of the family's 1533-position model. The record is from RNAcentral.